GUCUUACUAGUUGCUGGGACCUCCCUGAAAGAAGGACCUUGUGUAAUUCCCCUCUAUACCCUCAGCGCUCAGCACAGUGGAUGGCACCUACUAAGGAUUGGAGAUCCUGAACAAAUCAGAAAAGAGGAUAUAUUCCCAACUGCUUUGUCUUGAUGUUGGUGGUAUUGAGUAGGAAGUCGGAUGGACAAGCUGAAGUUUAAAAGAUAAAUCAGGGCUGAAUACAGUGCAAAAGUUUUCAUGGUGGAGAGUCAGGACACAUUACAUGGACAAAUGGAGCUCCCAGAGGGCUUGUGUGGAGCUCAGGAAAAUGUACAGCUUAAUCUGCUGGGCGCCACAAUUCUGCUGCUUCAACUCAUUUGCUAUGGAAAAUGAGGAGUCAACAAACAAGGGAGAGAAACAGAGAUGGGGGCACUUCACAGAGCACUUUAAGAAAUGGAAUGAGCAGUACAGAGUGUCAAGUGAAGGCAGAAGUUAAGAAAGAUGGGAAGUCCAUUGGAAAUGACCAGGAGAUCAUUGACAUUACCUGCUGAGAUAUUAAACUGAAUAAAUGCUCUGGUGUUAGGUAGCAGAAUUGUGCUGUCUUUCAUGGCCAAAACCAAUCGAAUAGUUCCAGAUAUCCUUUGUACAUUCCCAGACAUAUCCUGAAUUAUUCACCUUAACCCAUCUCACCCUGAUUUUCACUGCCUGAGUUCCUGUCUCCUGGAAUAAAUUCUUAUUUAUUUAUUUGUUUGUUUAUUUAUUUAUUUAUUAAAUAAAUUCUUA
Molecule: long non-coding RNA, 762 nt
Organism: Acinonyx jubatus (cheetah)
Lineage: Eukaryota; Metazoa; Chordata; Mammalia; Carnivora; Felidae
Exons: 3
Source: RefSeq, a predicted model, not a curated record